UGCUUUGUGGCUUUUUCCUGCAGCUUCCAGCUCUGAGUCUCUGACAUCGUCCCCCUUUAAUUAGGCGAGUUUUUGUGCAGCAGUAACAGUCGUGAUCUUCACACUGAAACGAGAGUUCAGCACAGCGACGUUACACACAAACUCAACGCUAACAUGCAAACAGAUGUGAAACGACAUCCCCAACAUCCGCCUGGAGUGAAAUUUUUAAUUUUGCACAAAAUCAAUCACAUGACGCCUUGUUGCAAAAGCCUGUUUGUUUUUUUUUCAACAUUAUUAUUUUUUUAAAUUUUAAAGUCAUCAUAUUAAUCUCAGAUUUCGUGAUUUUUUCAUGCUUUAAUUUUGCAAAUAUAUAUACUAUCGGCCCAAAAGUUUGUCAGGAUCGUCUGCAGACUUCGCUCAAGUCGUGAAAGAUAUUUGGAUCAUACAUUUCAGUUACACAAGAAAAUCCAUUUGAAAUUGUUCUGAAGGUUGAUAUAAAUACCGUCAUCAUCGCCAUCAGUUACUUUAAAGGACGUGCAGCGUUUUGCUCUGAGCGCUCUGAGAUGAGCGCGGAGCGAGAUCACUGCAGCCGUGUUUCGGCGUGUUUUCAUCGUCACGCCUGCGACGUCUGCAAACUGUCUGUCUGCUCUCUUUCUGUUUCAGCAAAACUGUUCAGAUCAAUAUCAUUGAUGACGAAGAAUAUGAGAAAAACAAGAACUUCUUCCUAGAGAUCGGAGAGCCGCGGCUGCUGGAGAUGAGUGAGAGGAAAGCUGUGUUGCUUCAAGAAGUCGGUGGAUUUGUGAAAACAGAGAAACAGCUGUAUGGUAAGAC
Molecule: non-coding RNA, 810 nt
Organism: Plectropomus leopardus (leopard coralgrouper)
Lineage: Eukaryota; Metazoa; Chordata; Actinopteri; Perciformes; Serranidae
Source: RefSeq, a predicted model, not a curated record